RNAcentral lists this ribosomal RNA (590 nucleotides) under uncultured crenarchaeote. Its description in RNAcentral is "bacterial SSU rRNA". It matches the Rfam family "Archaeal small subunit ribosomal RNA", at positions 933 to 1478 of the family's 1478-position model. Lineage: Archaea; Thermoproteati; Thermoproteota. The record is from RNAcentral.
GGGGUACCUUAGCCAGAACAUACCCCCCUGGACGCCAGGUAAUUAAGAAUGCGGGACCCCCAGGGAACCUGGGUCAUUGAUCACCGGACUUCCGGGGGAAGCGAUAAGCCAUUAAAGUCUUCAACAAGUAAAGAGGUGAUGCCGCGCAAGUCGUCCGUAGGUGUCUUUAAUCAGGCAACGAUCGACCCCCACCCUAGGUGCUACCGAGGAAGUUUCCAAGGGCACUCUAGGGACUGCCGCCGACAAGGCGGAGAAAGAGCGGGCCACGGCAGGUCAGUAUGCCCCGAAUUCCCCCGGGCCACACGCGAGCUGAAUGGCAGGACAAUGAGUUCCAACCUUAAAAAGAAGGAAUCUCCAAACCGUGCCUCAGUUGGAUCGAGGGUGAACCCGCCCUCGUGAACAUGAAUGCCUAGAAUCGCGCUCAUCAUCGCGCGGAAUACGUCCCCGCUCCUUGACACACCGCCCGUCGCUCCAUCCGAGUGGGGUUUGGGUAGGCGUGGUCUUAUUGGCCGCGUCGGAUCUAGGCUCCGCGAGGGAGUCGAACCAGGAAGCACGAAUCCCGCGGCCAUGGCGGCCGGACCAUGUGCGCU